RNAcentral lists this transfer RNA (72 nucleotides) under Candidatus Levybacteria bacterium CG10_big_fil_rev_8_21_14_0_10_35_13. RNAcentral describes it as "tRNA-Val". It matches the Rfam family "tRNA". Rfam says of the family: Transfer RNA (tRNA) molecules are approximately 80 nucleotides in length. Their secondary structure includes four short double-helical elements and three loops (D, anti-codon, and T loops). Further hydrogen bonds mediate the characteristic L-shaped molecular structure. tRNAs have two regions of fundamental functional importance: the anti-codon, which is responsible for specific mRNA codon recognition, and the 3' end, to which the tRNAs corresponding amino acid is attached (by aminoacyl-tRNA synthetases). tRNAs cope with the degeneracy of the genetic code in two manners: having more than one tRNA (with a specific anti-codon) for a particular amino acid; and 'wobble' base-pairing, i.e. permitting non-standard base-pairing at the 3rd anti-codon position. Lineage: Bacteria; Candidatus Levyibacteriota. The record is from RNAcentral.
GGACCCUUAACUCAGUGGUAGAGUGUUUCAUUCACAUUGAAAAAGUCGCAAGUUCGAAUCUUGCAGGGUCCA